UGAAACUCCAUCUCAAAAAAAAAAAAAAAAAAAAAAAAAAAAGCUGUCUAGCCAGGCAUGGUGACUCACGCCUGAAAUCCCAGCACUUUGGGAGGCUGAGCGGGUUGAUCACUUGAGCCCAAGAGUUUGAGACCAGCCUGGGCAACAUGGUAAAACUCUGCCUCUACAAAAACUACAAAAAUUAGCCAGGUGGUGGUACCUGCCUAUAGUUCCGGCUACUCGGGAGGCUGAGGUGGGAGGAUCACCUGAGCCUAGGAGGUCAAGGCUGCAGGGAGCCAUGAUGGUGCCUCUGCACUCCAGCCUGGGCAACAGAGUGAGACCCUGUCUCAUAAAACAAACAAAUAAAACAGUCUAAUUCCCCAAGAUAAAUCAGAUUAAUCUCUCCUCAGGUGAGAUUAAUCAGUGGUGCAUGUCACAC
This 418-nucleotide long non-coding RNA is filed under the name Homo sapiens (human). RNAcentral's name for it is "non-protein coding lnc-HADHA-1:1". The record is from RNAcentral. Lineage: Eukaryota; Metazoa; Chordata; Mammalia; Primates; Hominidae.